Molecule: non-coding RNA, 279 nt
Organism: Momordica charantia (bitter melon)
Lineage: Eukaryota; Viridiplantae; Streptophyta; Magnoliopsida; Cucurbitales; Cucurbitaceae
Source: RefSeq, a predicted model, not a curated record
AGAAGUUGGCGUAACUAGGUCGCAGGGGACGCAGAGGAAUGUCGAGGCGAUUAGGGCCAAAUCCGGAUUCCGAAUCCUGGCUGUACCUGAGUAUCUGAGUUUCUGAGUUUCAAGGAGAUAGUAGUUCAGAUUCUGCCACCAAGGAUAGUUCAAGGAUUGCAUAUCAUUUUGUAUGUAAUUUAGUUGGUUGGUAAGAAAUUGUAUCUGCACCAUGUUGAUAGAAUGUAUAGAAUGGAUGUAAGAAUGGUUGUUCUGUUAAGAUUAUUAUUUUAUUGUGCA